RNAcentral lists this long non-coding RNA (195 nucleotides) under Mustela putorius furo (domestic ferret). Its description in RNAcentral is "lncRNA (ENSMPUG00000031509.1)". Lineage: Eukaryota; Metazoa; Chordata; Mammalia; Carnivora; Mustelidae. The record is from RNAcentral.
UUUCAGAGAAGUGGAGGCUGAGAGAACCUGUUGCCAGCAGAAUAUGCCAUUGUACAAGAGAUGUUAAAGGGAUGUCUUCAGGCCAAGAAAAUUGAUGCCCAAGAGGGAUUCAGAUAUACGAGAAGGAGUAAGAAAGUUGGAAAUAUAAUAUACAUAGGCAAGAACUCAGCAAUGGAAUGAUUUGCCUAAAGCCAC